UUAACACUAGAGGGACUGAUUGCAUGUUAUAACUGAAAUAAUAUCAGUUUGGUUUUAAUAUUUGCAUCUCAGUCAUUCUCAUCCUAUGCCAAUGGUAAAGAAAGGGUGAACAAUUUCAGUUGAAGAAAGUGAUUACUUCAAUGACUCUCUGAUUGAUCUGCUCCUCUCCGCUAUGCGCUAAUUUAUUCAAGCCUUGCUACAUAAAGGUUCAUUGAGAAGCUAAUACGCUGAUGACUAUUACCUCCAUUCAUCCGAGAGCAGUCAUAAAUAUAUGGGAGUUGAUGAGCUGAUUGUGUUUUCGCAGUUGCGAUGAGUUGAUCGGUGAAGACUCUGGAAAAGUCAAGUAGGUAGCAAUUGGUCACUUGGUCAGCUUGGAUUCGAAGUAUAGCAGCAGCUUUGCAGUACUGGUUGUGCAACUGGAUACCUAAUAGUACCG
This is a long non-coding RNA of Papaver somniferum (opium poppy), 436 nucleotides long. RefSeq lists it as uncharacterized. The record is from RefSeq and is a predicted model, not a curated record. NCBI's taxonomy places the organism in Eukaryota, Viridiplantae, Streptophyta, Magnoliopsida, Ranunculales, Papaveraceae. The transcript has 3 exons.